UUUCUGGCAGGCAAAGAAAAUGAUGGGCUAAACCUGGUUCUGCAGGUAGCAAAAUUUCCCAGUUGAAUGUUUACCGUUCCGUUAUAUUGGCAAAAUUUAGUGAGCAACCAAACAGAAAUACUAAGUUGAUGUUACAAUAAUGUAUUCAAACAGUUAAAACUGUGUGAACAGAUAAUACAGAUAUUCCGCAUAACAAAUAAACAAACAAACACACUAAUCUAACAAAGACGCCAAAAAGAAAUGUAGUGGCAGUUUAUAGUUGAUUUAUCCCA
This 272-nucleotide long non-coding RNA is filed under the name Mytilus galloprovincialis (Mediterranean mussel). Lineage: Eukaryota; Metazoa; Mollusca; Bivalvia; Mytilida; Mytilidae. The record is from RNAcentral.